UUGAAUAUUAAUCCUCUCAAAAAAAUGUUUGAAGAAAUUUUCUUUUUAUUUAUGAAAUCUGAAAUGAGAAAAAUUUAACCCCCCGUUUUUUUCACAUCCCCCUUUCCCUUUUUCCAAAACUGAUCUCAAUUCAAAUUUCUAAUGGAGUUUGCUACAAUAACUACUCAUUUAAAUACUGUGAAAGUACUUUUAUUCGUGGGGUACCAAUUUUCGUGGUUUUCGUGGAAGACUUUAUCUACGAAUUUAAGUGUCUAACGAAAUAAAACAACCAUU
RNAcentral lists this long non-coding RNA (273 nucleotides) under Mytilus galloprovincialis (Mediterranean mussel). Lineage: Eukaryota; Metazoa; Mollusca; Bivalvia; Mytilida; Mytilidae. The record is from RNAcentral.